UCACAGCCUGGAGUAGUCCGUUGAACUUCUUGAAGCUCAACAUGAUAGCCGGCAUGUCCUCCUCCGCAGGCAGGAUCGUCGUCCGGAGAUGGAACACUCUGCCAAAUUGUUCCAUACGCCCACAGAAAGAAGACAAUAAAUCAUCAGUGCAAUGUUACUAUGAAGUGCCUCACAGAGUUGUAGUUGGGUUCAGAGUUGCAGUUAAACAAAAGGCAUGAAAGACAAAAAAAAAAAAGGUGCACAAAAAAAACCCUUGUUGAAUCAGCAUCAGAUUACUAUAGAAAGGAUGAAAUGUGAUGCGUUUCCUGCAUUCACAGAUACGAGGAGGAUGAUGGUUGAUUUCCUACAGUAGCUAAUGUGAAACAUGAGUUCAGUGUGACUGUUUCCAUAUGUGCAAACCCUACGCUAUGAUGGUGUAAAAUAUCAAUGAUGUGCCACUGUUCUAGUUUUCAGAAUUUAUAUGCCAUGUUUGUCACUCUCUAAGUUUGGCUGGGAUCUCUUACAUUUCUUAACUCACAACACAAAGAACUGGAGAUGAUUGCUCACAGGGCAAAACAGAAAAAGCUCCAAGAGAUCCAAUGCUGGAUAGCCAGCUUCAUUUCAAUUUGCUUUUCUUUCCACCUUGUAUAUAUGUACAGUUUUUACAGUUACACUACUUCAAAAGUUUACAAAUAUACGCAGUAGGAAGACCUACUGUUUCUCUUAAAAAAACACUGACAGAGCAAGUGAUGAUAUCAGAAAAGCACUUACCCUUCUUUUUGGCCGAAACCUGAGCCCGGAACAGUGGAUAUUCUGGUUGCUUCAAGGAGCUUGAGGCAGUAGAAAACAUCUGGUUCUUUGCCAGCGCUUUUGGCUGUAUCGAUAGCUCUUUUCGGUAGGCAUAUUUGAAAAUAUGAGUACAUAGCUCCUGCAUUAGAGAAGAUUCUUUUUUCCUUCUAUUGACAAAAAAAGGCACAUUUUGGAAAUAUUUCUGUCACCUUCUGUGAAAUUACAAACAACAUUUUGGCAACUAUUGAAACCGUCUGUCAUUAUUUGUGCCCUCCUCCUCAAAGAAUCGAGGAUAGACUUGCUGCAACAUCAUUUGUGAGCAGAACAUAUUCAGUAUCCCGUUAAAAAAUUUCCUUCGAAAUACAGACAGUAAGAAAUGUGAAGAUCAUAAUGUUUAACCUUUCAGUAGCAAACUUCAAGUACGAGAUAUCUCCAGGUUUAGGAUGGUUCAUCAUUAGCCCCAUCUGAUAAUAACAGAUUCAGAACCAUUGUACAGCUUUUUUUUUCUGAAAACUUUAUAUAAACACGAUAGGUUGCAGAGAAACAGGGGGGGUGGGGGGGGGGGGGGGGAGAUAAAAGAAAAGAGGAAAAGAUGCAGAGACCAUUGUACAACUUCUUAAUAUAGCUGGAACAGAAUUAGUUUCAGUAACUCCCCCUAUGUUGAAUGAAGUAAAAAACACCGCCUCUGGUCAUGGAUAAGUUCCCCUGAAAGACAUGUGUAAUUCCUUGCAGGCAUUUAUAAAUUAUAAUGUAAAGAGGGCAUGCCUAUCUUUUCUGAGUCCAGCCUAAAUAGGUUUCCAGUCAUCAAGAAUUUGAAUAAUGGUCAUGGUUCUUAUUCCCCCCCCCCCCCCCCCCCCCCCCCCCCCUCCCUCCGUACAGAAAUAUUAUCAAGAAAAGAGCAAAGCAAUGAAGUUUGUUUCAGUUACGAAGAUCUGCCCAGGAACGUUUGGACUCAGCGCAAUUGAUGCAACCUUGUAGAUCUCAUCCACUGUCUGUGAGAAUAAGAUCAAUUAUAUCAUGAGUCAUAUAUUUAAGAAACUAGAUAUGUUGCAUUGUCCAAAUUUCAGGGUAAAUUCCUGUACGUUAGAAUUAACUGGAGACCUUACCUAAGUGACUAGACUUCACAUGUUCAAUUGUCAGCAUUAAUUAAACACUAUCAUACAGUUCUGAGAUUACUAGUAGUUGUAAAUGGAUGGCAUGAUUAUGAAUAUCCAACUCCGCCAUAUUCAAUUUGACAAUGUCCUGGGCAUUCACUUGAAACACCUCUCACCCAGACUUCUCAUCGCAUGAGCUCAAAUUGACAAAUACCUGGAGAGAAACUUUUUUCCUUCCCCUGGAAUUUUAUAGGUGUAAAUACUAGGUGUCGGUGGCUGGUGGUUGUGCAGGCAUUUCUUUUUCACGCAGUUUGUCGAAAGCUGCAAAUAACACAUUCAGAGCUGGAGCCUUUCAUUUUCUUGGUCUCCCAGCUGUGUUCUUUGCUGUCCUUGUCAGGUUCUCAACCUGCAACUGUUGGGUUAUCUUAUCAGCUAGUGGCUAAUGCAUCCUACUAAAAUGCUGCCUAUUGGUAUGGCUUUUGUGAACUGUGAUGUCUCUGUCUGAUGAAAAUGGCUUUGCCUGAUGUCAUGGCUAAACCUUGUUCCAUUAACGAAAUCACAGGUACAAGAUCCAAGAGGUUCUGAAAAGCGUUACUCCAAAGGAGAACGAAAUGCUGAAAACAAAGGUAGAUUCAGGCCUCCAACCUGAACAACAGAACAGAUCAUACAUCACUCCAACAAAUCUACCAGCAAGACUUCAACAGAACGCAGUACUUAAGCAUUUGCAAUUUCUCCUAUGGUGCAUCAGGAUCAUGUUAUCUUGUGUGUUUGAUUGAAUCUUAUACAGCUGAAUCCACUUCAACUGGGAUACAUUCAUACAAGAAAAAAGGCGGCAUACAGAGAACGUGGGAAUGCGGCAAUUGCAACUAGAAAUCCAGCAUUUUGCCAGAUCAGUGCACAUUGCUACAACCGAAUAUGAACAGAUUACUUACAACAACAAGAUAUAGCUUUGAUUAGCUGAGAGAAAAUGGAACCGUGGUUCGGUACAAUCAUAGGGGAUGAAACAACCAAUUAAUCUCAAGUAAUGAAAUACACUAGUUUGCAAGGCAUACUCUCACUUCUGUAGAUACCCUUGCGGAUAGUCGUCGGAUAUGUUUUCACCUUCCCUCAGCUUUGAUUAGCUGAGAGAAAACCCUGCUCAUCGACACGUCGGAGAGGUCGUGGUCAGGCUCGUGUGAAGCCCCAGCUUCUGCCAUAGUCAUGCUGAUGCUCUCAAGAGCACCCACAUGCUGAACCUGCGACGAGAGGUCAACGAUCCGGUUCAUGCUGUUCACGUCUGAUACUGUUGAAGAAUCUGCAUCUUGGAGCUGCAGGACAUACUCCAGGUUCCAUAGGACAUCUCCCAUCGACGGCCGCUCCACACCGUAGUCUGCCAGGCACUUCUCUACUGUUUCACCAAACUUCCUUAGAGAAUCCGGCCUGAUCGUACUGGAAAGUCUCUGAUCAACGAUCUGAUGCAACUCUCCCCUCUUCUGCCAUUUCAUUCCCCACUCUGCUAGAUUCACCAUUUCCCUCGGGAGCGUAGGGUCAAUCACCGGCCUCGCGCAAAGCACCUCCAGCAUGACAACACCAAAGGAAUAGACAUCUGACUUCUCAGUCAGCUGCUGCCUUCGGAAAUAUUCAGGGUCAAGAUACCCAAAGCUACCCUUCACUGCAGUGCUGACAUGAGUUUGAUCAAGCUCAGGCCCAGUCUUUGAUAGCCCAAAGUCAGCAACUUUCGCUAGGAAAUUCUCAUCAAGCAAGAUGUUUGCAGACUUGACAUCACGGUGGAUAAUGGCCUUUGCAGAACCAGUAUGAAGAUAGUGUAACCCCCUUGCAGCUCCAAUGCAGAUCUCCAAGCGCUGCUUCCAGUUGAGUGAUGGGUUGUCUGAACCAUAUAGGUGGCUUUUGACGGUCCCAUUCUCCAUAUAUUCGUAUACCAAGAUCAUCUCAUUCCUUUCAUCACAGUACCCAAUCAGAGACACCAGAUGGCGGUGACGCAAACGUGAAAGGAGUUCAAUCUCUGUGCGGAACUCGUUAAGACCUUGCUGAGACUUGGGGUUUCCUCGUUUCACUGCAACCUUCGUGUCAUCCCUCAACACUCCCUUGUAGACUUUCCCAAAACCUCCAACUCCAAUGACCCAGUUCUCGUCAAAAUUGUUUGUUGCUUCUUGGAGAACAUUGAAGGCAAAGCGAUAUCCAAGGCUUCCAUUCAGACCUGAUGUGAGAGUAGUACCAUAAGAAGUUCUACUUCCUGUACUGAGAGAUGUGAGACCAUUAAUAGAGAAAGGCAUCCAAGUCUUGGAGUGCUGCUUGUCAUCAGUCUUUUUCCUCCGGCAAAGCAGUACCAAAAGAAGGACAAUUACCAAAAGUCCAAUAACCCCAAUGACUGAACCAAUGAUAACAGCCAAAAUUUUCUUUGAACCAGAAGAUCCAACAGUAAAAGCAGAACCCGAGCCACUGCCCAUCUUCAUAACCUCAAGGCCAUUCAGAAUCCCAUCAGGGAAUGCGUUGUUCAAUGUAGAUGGACCAAUGCUGAUGCUGAGCUUGCUAGAUGCAUCAUUAGAUGAAAGAACCACAUCAACAUAGAUGGCUGUAGCCAAUUGAUUCAUUGAUUGCUCUGAGAGAUCAAGGUCAUGUUGUGCAAAGAAACCCCCCACAUAUGCAUUGAAGUAGAGUUGGUUAAGUGCCUUACUGACAAUAUCACAGAAGUGAAAUCUUAUUAAAUAGCUGAAGCCUGCAUCUACAUCAAACUGCCAUGUCAUGUUGAAAAGUGCGUUGGAUGUAUUUGAAGCUGCCAGUUCUGUAGCUGUACUGUAGACAACAUCAGGGGCAGUGAGUGACGAUGCUCCACCAUUCUUGUACUUGAUUGUCUUGCCAUAAACAACCUUUUUGGUCACACUAGGGUUCAUUAUGAACUUCUGAUCAUUCAGCCAUGUCCUUGAGAGGGUAUCAUUGUUGGGAGUGACCUUCGGACCACCCAUAUUGACGCGAUACACCGUCUCCAACGACUGCGUAGACAAACCGCUGUACUGCUGCACGGGGUUGACCAUCUGGGCAACAUCAGCUAUGAGAUCAUCCGGGACAGAAACCACUUCGAUUGCAUUGACGAAUGCGAUCCCGUUGGACGGCUUGAAGGAGAUGAUAAGCUGGUCCCGUGUGAUGUUCAAAGAGUAUUCCUUGAACAGCGGCGCGGUCUUGUCCGGCUGCUGGAAGUCGCUAAGCAGAAGCACAUCCUGGGUCGACACGGUGAACUUGGCGGUGGAGAGAUCGUAACUCUGGUAGAUGAAAGGAAAGAAGUAGAGACGGACGAAAUGGCGGCCUUGCUUGUUGAUAGGGAAGGUAUAGGACGACGGGCCGGUGAAUAUGCGGGCGGUCUGGUAGAGCGCCGAGUUGUCGAACGAGGACACCCCGUUGGCCGAGGUGCCGGCGAGGAUUUCUUGAGGUGUGGAGACCGUCAACGGAGCAGCCCCAUCGGCAGCGAAGUUUCUCUCGCUGACCGUGGUGCCCUUAGCAGAGCCGCAGUUGACGAGGUAGCUGUCGGCGGGCUUGAACUGAUCUACUAGUUGUGCUCUGCAGAUUAUCCCGGCAGACGAGCAGACACAGAAAAGGAGGAGCAAGGCUGCGACUUGCAACUUCCUCCUCCUCCCCGGCAUGGCGGCGCUGACCUGAAAGAAGAACAAGAGCGGGGUGCAAUGUGUUUCAGAUGCCAUGUCUAAGCAAGAAGCUUGAAAUCCAGAGAGGGAAAAAGGUGGAUCUGGAAACAAGAGUUACGAACUGGGGGAAGAUUAAGGAGAUGCAACGGGAAGCUGAAGGGCGCGCGGGAUCUGUUGGUGGGGUGAUGGGAGGAGAAACGGUCGGGAACGAAAGAAUGGAAGGGGGGAUAGAUACCUGCUGAGGUGGAGGCGCUCGCACGAGGAGGAAGACGAGCGACGGAGCGAAGGGGCUGGCAGCGGGACGGGGUGGCGGCGCUCGCUCGAGGAGGAAGAAGAGCGACGGGGUUGGGCCGCCAGGGGAGGGAAGGUUGCCGAGCAAAGCAAAUAAAAGGAAAAAAGUUUAUACUGUCCUGUUUCCCUCAGCCAGCCGACAGAGAAAAAAAUCUAGGAGGUUAGGAAACCACCGAUGAACAUCCGUUUUAGGACUUGUUUGCAAGGUUUUUGUGUGUUCUUGGCGACGGCAGCCUGACGAAGGCUCUAUCCCGUUCUGGCAUGGCUAUCAUGGUCUACACUCCAUGGAGUUUGUGGAUCUCACGGCUUGUAAAUUCGUGAUUUUGAUCAUGUUCCUCAUCAGUUCGGCUAUGAUUCAAUGGUUCGAUAACCUGUCUAGCGAGGGGUGUGUUCUCGGCCACCGCGCGUUCAACGAUCUUAAGUUCUCACCUGCUGAGGUAGAUGGCUCGUGUGGCUUACCCUACAAGGUUAGUCCAGGUUAUGCAGGUCUGGUCUUCUACUGUUUCAUUACCAGAGAUUUGGAGAAAUAUUAAGAUGCGAUUGGCACGACUAGAGAACUUGGCUUCAAAGAUUUUUGAUGUAACUUUCGAUUUAAUUUUUCGUAAUCUUUGCCGAAAUCUUGGGUAGAGAAUAAAGUCAGAUUUUCUAAAAAAAACAAAGCAAAGCAAAUAAAAAGUGAGAGAUAAAUGAGCUGAGAGCUCCCACCCUAGGCCUAACCGAGAAAAAAUAGUUUAAUAAUUUAUGUGAUGUAAAAUAUUUGUGACUAGUUUAUACAGUCGGGCCGAAAAUGUGAGGUUUUGUUAGCAAAUUAGCAAAAAUUGGGAGCUACUGAGACGAGCCCCAAUAACCGUGGUUUCUUGAAAUUUACCCUGUUUAUUAUGUCAAAUAUCCAUGUGUGUAUCUAUAUCUGAGGCGUCUGAAUUUUUAAGUAAAAGAUUUAAUUCUUGAUCGAUAGUAUCAAAACCACUCACUUCUCUCUCGUUGCGAAUUUUAAAACACAAUCUAGAUCCAACAACUGAACAAUAACUUAUUUCUAACUAAAAAUCAUGCGACUUAGGUAUAACAAGCCUAAAUAUCUAUUUUGUUAAAUAUCUAGAUGUUUCUGGAAAAAAAUAUAACUAUGUAUUUACUCUUACAAAGACCUAGCUUGAUAACUUGGCCGCUUGGGGCGCUGCAGUAGGUCAGUCCGCAGCGGGGACGAGCAAGAAAAAAAAUACGCAGUGGCUCCUCAGCACGGAGGCGAGUCUGACCUUCUCCUUGGCAACACGUGGGUUGAGAAUCCGGAAAUUCAGCUGAACAGAGGUGAGAAAUGAUCCAUGAAGGUGGCACAUCUCAGGGAGAGAAAUUGGGCACAAUCGAGUCCUAUCUCAGAAGAACUCAUAACCUGACACCGCUGCUGAAUUAGUUUAUAUGCGUUUUUUGCACAAGACACCAAUCCAGUGAGCUUCCUCGGAUUCGUCCCACUCCCACGCGGACAGGUAAUGUUGCGGGGGUGGCGAAGAGGAUGAGGCUGGCCGGGAGCCUGUAUCUCUUGCGAAGAAGUUGAAUCGCACGCUUGUGCGGCGUGCCUUGGUCCAUGAUGGUAGCGAGCGGCGGUGGCGAUGGAGGGAGUGCCGAGGAGACGGCGGCGGUGGCGGUGGAGGGAGUGAAGAGAAGCCCGAGGAGAUGGUGGCGAGCAGCCGGCGCGGAAGAAGGAAUUAAAAAAAAAAUACGGCGACGGCGGCCAGUGAGAUCGGCUUUGGACGCAACUGCAAGAAGAAGUUAGGGAUGCUUUUGGGCGAUGGUACCGGCAAACGCUUGUUAUCAGUCCUCUCUUAAUUAAGAUGUUUUUCUUUUGAAAAACGAAUGAAGAAGAAGUUAGGACAGAGGCGCCGGAAAGUGGCAGCUGGGCACGUUCAUUUAUGCCUUUUUGUAUUUCUGUCCUGACAAAUGACCCAUGUGCAACGGGGGGCAACCACUGUCCAACAAGCAACGCGGUAGCACAGUGGAGUGGAGUAUUAUUUGCUCUCUUUUUUUUCUUUAUUUAAAGCUUUUUUUAACAUUACCCGAUGGAGAAAAUUAUCAAACUUAACGAAUAAAAAUGCAUCCGUAAUUAGCGCCGUGACGUGUGCCUAAUUACGCGCAUUACGAUGUCCAUUUCGAACUCAGGGACCGUUGUCUAUGUACACAUUGUUUGUUUGUUUGUUUAUUGAGUGAUGGUCAUGUUGUUUAACUAAAUAUAAAUAUGGGAUUUGCUAUUUCUAAGGCAACCGAGAAAUAGCUACUAUUUGUAAAUCGAUGCUAACAACCGUUCGAUCCACUUACCAGAGGCGGCUGCAUGUGUAUUCACGUGUAUUCAUCAGAUGAAUGCACAAGAUUUUGAGAAAAAAAAAUUAUAUACAUAUAUUAGUACUAGUAUUAGUCAUUGGGCCCCUAGUCCACUAGUCCGUAGACCUCAGGUCAAGGCCCAGCAGCCCCAUGUCCGCGACUCUAGUAUGCCUCUGCGUGACGGUUUCGUUCCUCGAUCAAUCGAUCGGCACGCCGCACGCAAACGCCGCCAGACCCUAGCGAGCAGAGCAGCGGACGUCAGAGGCGAGGCCUUGAUUGCGGCGACCGCCGGCUCCGCGCGACCCAGUGCAGCGGAGCAAGGAUUGUCUGAUCGUGGCGUGGCCACGAGCACUAUUACGUUGUUUACAGGCUUCUUAAGUUGGUGUUGCUUCUACCAGUAGCUACUGCUAGUGUUGAAAGGGUUUUCUCCUCAAUGAACUAUGUGAAGAAUAAGCUAAGAAACAAAAUGGGUGAUGAUUACUUGAACAAUUGUUUGGUUACAUUUAUUGAAAGAAAGAGAAUUCUUCAGUCAAGUUACGGUACGGAUGAGGAUGUCAUCAAUCGCUUCCAACAAGGCGAUCGCAAAGUUAUAUUGUAAUUUUUAAGAUGAGGAUAUAUCAUUAAUUCUUCAAUCAAGAGGUACUCCCUCAAUGCUAGUUCAUAUUGUAGUAUUGAUACUUAUUAUGGAACUAUAGUCAUAGCUCAUAUAUAUUUGUAACCUGGUUAAAAAAUAGUAAUUGUCAUGCUGCUUUGUCCAAUGCUAUCCACAAUUUCAUUAUCAGUUGUUUUAUUUCAUAAAGUCCACUGGAUUUUUUUUGCAAUGAAUACCCAGUGUCUAGAACCUGGAGCCGCCACUGCCAAUCACUGAUAUUCGUGCAAGAUUUAUACAAUUAAAUUAAAAUGAUGAGAAAAAUCAUAAUUGAAUGGUCAUGAUCGUUGACUGAGAAAUAAUUAUUUACUAGUUGAGUGCCCGUACAUUGCUACGGAACGAUAAGAAAAUAUAUUUGUAUAGGCAUUUCGAUCACAUGGUUAUUUUAUUUCUUAAACGUAGUGGCCAAUAAAAAUAUGUCUAGUGAAAAUCAAACCCGGUGUCAUUAUCUUGCUUCCUUCCUAUCUCUCGCCAUCGUUGAUUCUCUUACUUUUAGAAGUUUCCAUUCAACACCAGUGGAGUAUGGUGAGCCAAACAUGGUGUACAGGAUGAUCAGUAUAAUAAUGGAGAGCACCACCCAAAUCACUUCACUUUGUUUUGGUGUACCAUCAGGAAUUUGACUUAUGUAAUAUGGUAGUAAUGAAACAAUCACUGCCCAAAACUGGAUAACAAGCAAUACUCUUGCAGCCCGAAGCCAUUUCCAAGAUCCACCCUAAGUUUGCAUUUUAUCAGCACUAUCCUUAGUUUUACUGUCAUCCAAUGAUUUUCCCUUGGUUUUACUGUCAGCAAGAGCAGCAGCAACUAUUGGGGGGGGGGGGGGGGGGGGGGUGCCAAAAGCAGUGCAAAAGGAAUCAUAUCCACACCAACUGAAACGAAUUUGCUUGGAGCUGCAAGGAAAUAGAGGAAAAAUGAUUGAUGGAACUUCACGGGCAGGUUAUUCACAGAACGUACCACCCCUUCAAUUAACCUGAAAUGGAAAAAAAUAUGGUGAGAUAAACAUAAACAAUGUGCUGACCACGUGCUUUAUUAAAUGCAGAACAUGCAUCUUUUUCUAUAAAAAUGAAAGAAAUGCUUUUCAGUACAAUAAGCCUGUUAUUUUUCUAUAAAUCAAGCCUCCACUACUAUUAUAUUAUUUGGACAAACAAAUCCAGAGUUCCUUAAAAGUCCAGUUAAAAUCAAAGUCUGUUUAGCCAACAUGAAUAUCUUUGUUGUGUCAGUCAGUUACAGAACAAGCUACAAAAAUGCGCAAAGACAUAACUAAGCAAUAGAUGAACAAUUGUUGGUUUCAUUACACAAGAUCCUUCUUUUGGAUAUUCUCCCUAACAUUAGGAUUAGGAUCCUGAAGCAAAAUAAAGAAAUCACUCAACCAAAUAAAAGUUAGCUAUUUGCAAUCAGUAUUUGUAACUCAACUUGCUGUUGACAUACAGGUCGCUGUUGCACGCUUCAGGAAAUUUCCCCUGCAUUUGCCCCAAAAGGAGUCUUCCGAUUUCUUUCUUAGAACAAUUGAAGAAAUAUAUUCAGCCAAUCCACAUACCUGCAAAUUAUACAGCCACCUCGGGUAUUUCUGUCCACAUCCGGUGUUUGAUAUCCAUGACAAAGCUAACAUCAAAUGUCUCGUCCUCCUUAAGAAAUUUCUCAAUAGAAUAAACCUACUGAAAUAAAAAUUAUGGAACUCUCAAAUUUAUUUAUUUGUCUUUUUAGAACCUGGAUCCCAAUUCACCCUACCCUGUAGCAUUCAGUUGGUUAAGUUGCGGUCUUAUCUUCCAAAGAGAGAGAGAGAGAGAACAAUCCAGAUAUCACAAUCUAUAUUCUCCGUUUUUACAUUUCACACCAGCCGUGAAUGGCAAAAGGAAAACUGCAUACACCAUUAAUUAAUAUCAGAGCAAAAGAGUAUUUCUGCCUGUAAUGCUAACUUUGCACAGAGCAAAGAACCAUUGGCGUCACAUCAGGAAACUGCAACCUGCAUCAAUCUUUUGCACAAAUAUAUAUAGAAAAAAAAACACAUAUACAGGGGGAAUCCGUCAUGCUACCUUACCAGAGAUGUGGAUUGAGGAGGUAUCCGGCGGUGAGGCAGACACAAGCACUCGGGCGGAUGGUAAGGCAGAUGCUGGCACUCUGUCCGGUCGCCAUGAGCACAAACCAAUCUUCCAGCCUGAAGAAAUCGAUCCUCUCCACUUUCGUUCCUUAUAAAAUCACAAGCAUCUCUAAGAGUACAAAUAUACUACUCAUUGCAAGGAAGUAGGAUCAGUCUUUGGCUAAAUAAUUUCCUCUAGACAAUGUAGGGAGUAUUAACACAGACUUAGACUUAGGCAGUGGACGCCAUAUCCUCAAAAAAAAAAUGCAAGAUUUCGAUGGGCACCUUCCCCUCGAACCUCCUUCUAUGCUGCUGCAGGUGGCAGCGGCUGCAAGGGAGGCGUUGCGGGAUACCAGCAGGCGUCGUCAGCGGCGGCGAUGCAGGCAGGCGGAUGCGGAUGCGGAUGCGGGGAGCACCCAGAUCGGUUCGGUUUUGAUUCGGGCCGGCUGGGCCUGCGAGGAAGCGGGAGGGAGGCGGCGCUGCGGAUCAAGAGGAGGCAGGGAGGAAGAGGCAGGCGGCGGCGGCGCGUCAUCGCGAGGAAGGCGAAGGGAGGGAGGGAGGCGGCAGCGCCGGCGUGUCCUCGCGAGGAAGGCGGAGGGACGAAUGGGGCAGCAGCACGGAUGAGGAUGAGGGGGCGUUGCAGGGAAGUCUGCGGCGCUGGAAGGGGGCGGUGGAGGGAGGGAGGACGAUGCAGAUCGUGAGGAAGGGGAUGGAGGCGUCGUCCGGAUGGGAUCGAUGCGGAUGGAAAUGAAGGUGGAGCUAAUCGCGGGAUUCUGCGCAUGCGUGGAGGUGGGAGGAGGCCGGUGGGAACCGGUUUUUUGGACGAUGAGACUAUCACGCGGACGCAACUGCAAAUUAAGUAAUACGUAGGAAAGAUAAAUCGGCUCCACUGCACUGGAUGUCUACAUGUGUACGUAGCAAGAUCGGUCGGCACGUACCAGGGGUUUGAUAAUGACACUGGUUAACAGAAAAACAACGACCAUCCCAUUCCCAUGUGAGAUGGAGCAAAAUUAGGCAGUUUCUUAAUUAGCCUGGCAACUGUCUUGCUGUCCGUCCGUCCAAGUUAAUUAGCAUGCAUGAGAGUUCGGUGGAGGACAGUUAGACUAAUACCAACCGACAGCGACUCGACUCCAUAUAAGUUUCAGAAAAAUAAAAGAGGCAUCUUCGUCAACACCGAUUGACAACGGGCCAUGCACACGGCCCACGGGCCGGCGGACAUAAAUUUGGAGUAGAUACGCAAAUUGGCAUUCUUGUUUGAAGGUGUUGGGAAGGCUCGCCAAACGUCAUCUCUGGUAUGAUUCGGUAUUAUUUCUAUGUGUCUAGACUCAAUAAAACUGAUAGACGUUAUCACGUUUGAUGAUUUAGCAAUGCAAUGAUAAAGCAUCGAUCUCAGCACUGCUUUGCUUCAUUUGCUUGUGAAAUUCAGACAUGUGUGUUGUGUACUCUCCAUAUAUUUAUGUUAAUUCAUAUCAUUUUAUCGCCCAAAUUGCCAAGCGUAGCAAACAUCUAAAACAUAAUGUAUUUCGGAAGGGAUUAAGUAGGUGUGUCAGCAUGACAGCAUGCAUAGUGUCAACAGCUCCACCAUCGCCAUCAUGGUGACAAUCACCUCCAUAUCUUUCUACAGUAAGAUAUGAAGCUCAAUCAACAACGGCGAUCAAGCUCUUAAUUAUAUCCACCAUGCAAGCAAUAACAAGGAGUAUUAAUUAAUCGAUGGAGCCAAGAGUUGCACAGUAUGAUUGUCUCAUAAAUUAUGUUUUCCCUAUACAUAUCAAGCACAGCAACCAGUUUAGUUUCUUCAAGAUAGUUACAGCUUACAGCUAAAUUUUUUAACUUUUAAUCGCUGGUGGAAAAUAGCAGCAAUAUAUCAUGUCGAUGAUGACCUCGUUGUUUCCCUCUUCACAUCACAGCCUGGAGUAGUCUUGGUAUUGCUCCAUGAAUGAGUCGUUGAACUUCUUGAAGCUCGACAUGAUCGCCGGCAUGUCUUCCUCUGCAGGCAGGAUCGUCGUCCGGAGAUGGAACACCCUGCCAAAUUGUUCCAUGCGCCCACAGAAAGAAGGAACAAAUUAAAUCAUCAGUGCAAUGUGACUAUCAAGCGCCUCACAGAGUUGUAGUCGGGUUCGGAGUUACAGUUAAACAAUAAGCAUGAAAGAAAAAGAAAAAAAACCAAAGGUACUCAUAAAAACCCUUGUUGAAUCAGCGUCAGAUUACUAUAGAAAGGAUGAAAUGCGAUAGCUUUCCUACAUUCACAGAUAUGAGGAGGAUGAUGGUUGAUUUUCUACGGUAGCUAAUGCGAAACGUGCAAACCCUACUCUAUCAUGGUGUACAAUAUCAAUGAUGUGCCACUGUUCUAGUUUUCAGAAUUUAUAUGCCAUGUUUGUCACUCUCUAAGUUUGGCUGGGAUCUCUUACAUUUCUUAACUCAUAACAACACAAAGAACUGGAGAUGAUUGCUCAUAGGGAAAAACAGAAAAAGCUCCAAGACAUCCAAUGCUGGAUAGCCAGCUUCAUUUCAAUUUGCUUUUCUUUCCCCCUUGUAUAUAUGUACACAGUACACUACUUCAAAAGUUUAUAAAUAUACACAGUACGAAGACCUGCUGUUUCUCUUAAGAAAACACAGAUAGAGCAAUUGAUGAUAUCAGCAAAGUACUUACCCUUCUUUUUGGCCGAAACCUGAGCCUGGAACAGUGGAUAUUCCGGUUGCUUCAAGAAGCUUGAGGCAGUAGAAAACAUCAG
RNAcentral lists this long non-coding RNA (13550 nucleotides) under Brachypodium distachyon (stiff brome). RNAcentral describes it as "long non-coding RNA (BDIS_LNC001199)". Lineage: Eukaryota; Viridiplantae; Streptophyta; Magnoliopsida; Poales; Poaceae. The record is from RNAcentral.